AUUUUCCUACUACAUUCAAAAACUACAGGUUGCAGCAUCAUCAAAACUUAUCUUCAGGUUUUACCAAUACUCCCUUAUUGGUAACAAUCUCCCCCUUUUUGAUGAUGAUAAAAAAUUCUCCUUUUAAAAGCAACUUAGGUUUACCUGCAACACAUACAAACUAAAAAGCAGCCACAGAGUUAGUAGUACCUGUACAAUUUAAAAAUAUUUCUCCCCUUAAUUAUUCUUCUCCCCUUAUAUUAUUCUUCUCCCCCUUUUUGAUCAUAAGCAAAAAGAUUAAAUUAAAAAGCUCCCCCUAAAUAUGAUCUCCCCCU
This 314-nucleotide long non-coding RNA is filed under the name Vigna radiata. RNAcentral's name for it is "long non-coding RNA (VRAD_LNC008360)". Lineage: Eukaryota; Viridiplantae; Streptophyta; Magnoliopsida; Fabales; Fabaceae. The record is from RNAcentral.